Potamilus streckersoni is the source of this 77-nucleotide non-coding RNA. The record is from the annotation of a GenBank genome assembly. Lineage: Eukaryota; Metazoa; Mollusca; Bivalvia; Unionida; Unionidae.
GACUGCUCUGAUGGCAUAGUGGUUAGAGCGUACGCCUCUGAUGCGGGUGGUCGUGGGUUCGAACUCCGUCUGAGUCA